GUAGAACUGUCUGUUUGUAUCCCUUAGAUUCAUGUAUGUUGUAAUUGUUUGCUACAGGAAAUAAAAGAGGGUUAUUUAUAUAUAGAACAAAAGAAUGUGCUGCUACCAAGAGUCAUGAAUGUAUGGAUGAGGGAAGAUACCAUUCAUGAAAGUAGAGGUUAAUCUAAUUCGCUCCUGAUUAAAUAAGCCAAAAUCACCCCUGAUUAUUCACUAAUCUAAUUUGAGGUACAGUAUUAUUGGCAGACAUAAUGUGAAUCCAUGUUUUCAUUUCCCCUUAGAUUCAUGUCUGUUGUAAUUGUUUUCUACACGAAAUAAAAGAGGGUUAUUUAUAUAUAGAACAAAAGAAUGUGCUGCUACCAAGAGUCAUGAAUGUAUCUGGAUGAGGGUAGAUACCAUUCAUGAAAGUAGAGG
Molecule: long non-coding RNA, 411 nt
Filed under: Setaria viridis
Lineage: Eukaryota; Viridiplantae; Streptophyta; Magnoliopsida; Poales; Poaceae
Description: long non-coding RNA (SVIR_LNC000522)
Source: RNAcentral